GUCUACAGCCAUGCCACCCUGAACAAGCCCGAUCCCAUCUUUUCUCGGAAGCUAAGCAGGGUCGGGCCUGGUUAGUACUUAGAUGGGAGACCACCUAGGAAGAUCAGGUGCUGUAGGCA
RNAcentral lists this ribosomal RNA (119 nucleotides) under Pteropus alecto (black flying fox). The record is from RNAcentral. Lineage: Eukaryota; Metazoa; Chordata; Mammalia; Chiroptera; Pteropodidae.